Salvia miltiorrhiza (redroot sage) is the source of this 753-nucleotide long non-coding RNA. RefSeq lists it as uncharacterized. NCBI's taxonomy places the organism in Eukaryota, Viridiplantae, Streptophyta, Magnoliopsida, Lamiales, Lamiaceae. The record is from RefSeq and is a predicted model, not a curated record. The transcript has 3 exons.
UAGGUACGCGAAGUUCCAAUUUGUUGCGGCAUCUGGAAAAGAGUUUCUUUCCUUCGUUGUGUUUUCUGCUUGUUCCUGGAUACAUGGUAAGGUCUCUAGAUGUAGUGAAGAUUAUAUUCAUCGUUUGACUUCCUAUCGCUGGUACUAGUGUUUGUGCUUAGUUUGGGAGGGCGAUAGUCUGCUUCGAUGCUGCAGCAGAAGCGGCCAGGUAUGGUUUCACGGUAGUGGACAGGCCAGAGGGGUUUCUGGUAUUGGCAGUUGCAUCUUUAGGCGAAGAUGUGAUUGAAAACUAACUGGUGCUCCAGAGGUGCAUAUUUUUAUUACUAAUUUCAUAACUUAUUCAUGUUUCAUUUUAUCAUGGUUCCAAAUGUGGUCUUUGGUCUGUGGUCUGCGAAGGACGCAGCAGAACUGGAGGAGAAGAAACGUGGGGUAAUCGGGCGAGGGAGGAAGAAGACAGAUGAGUCAGAGUAUUUUAUGUGGAAUGAUGUCAAUGUGUCAUGUGGUAAGCUAGUCCCAUCGGAGCAUAAGGACAGCCCCCUCGAGUACAAUGAGUGUGUUGUCUACGAUUUAGAAUAAGUGAGUAUAAAGUUUCUGGUGGCUAUGAAGUUUGAGGAGAAGGAUUUCUACUCUUCUGACUGGACGUUGCAGAACAUUGCAUCCAAAGAUUCUACAGAGGUGCAGAGGGUAGAGCUUGUAGCUUCAGUUGCACCCAUGCAACAAUCAAGAAAUUUAAAGAUGCAUUGGCCAAACAUG